Molecule: small nucleolar RNA, 138 nt
Filed under: Ornithorhynchus anatinus (platypus)
Lineage: Eukaryota; Metazoa; Chordata; Mammalia; Monotremata; Ornithorhynchidae
Source: RNAcentral
CCCCUCUCAGGGUCACACCUGGAGAGUUUCCAGUACUCUACCAGUCUCGACUAUGGGAGAGAGAGUCAAGCAGAGGUAUAUCCCAUUCAUUCCUAGCUUGGGCAGUGACUAGCGAGUGGAAGACAAUCUGCUACAAGU